Zootoca vivipara (common lizard) is the source of this 8477-nucleotide non-coding RNA. The record is from RefSeq and is a predicted model, not a curated record. NCBI's taxonomy places the organism in Eukaryota, Metazoa, Chordata, Lepidosauria, Squamata, Lacertidae.
AAGGACGGCCAAGGCGGGGAGGGGAAGAGAGAGAGAGCGCUAUGCAAAUCGAGCUGGAUGAGAUCAGCCGGGAGCAACUGGCUGUGCAACUUCGGAGCAGGACUCUUUUCCCUCGCCAGUUGCGCACGGCAGACGCGCUUUCUCUCUGCGCCCUGGUUCCCGGUUGGAUUAUUCCUCUUAGUGAGCCCCGGGCUGGAAUUUCUAUCUUUCUGUCUUGGCGGAGUUAAUUAUCUCUUUUAUUUACGCCGCAUUUUACCCGGGUGGAUUUAAGCGCUGUUUGAGUUUGAAGAGGAGAAUCCAGAAAAGGGCAUGAAGACUCAACUGUCGGUGUAAUAAUCACAGAGCCCAGAGAGCAUGGUGGGACUCGCAGCGCUUUGCUUGCUGCUCUCGGCGUCUCUCGGCACCUCGGAGUUGGAAGAGCACUUUGAUCCAGCUAAGUGUCGCUAUGCAUUGGGCAUGCAGGACCGCACCAUCCCGGAUGAGGCCCUCUCAGCCUCCAGCUCAUGGUCCGAAUCGACGGCCGCCAAACACAGCAGGUUGGCGUUGAGCGAGGGGGAUGGAGCCUGGUGCCCUGCAGGACCCGUCUACCCUAACGACGCGGAGUACUUGGAGAUAGACCUGCGGCGGCUGCACUUCUUAACCUUGGUGGGCACGCAGGGUCGCCAUGCUAGCGGUCACGGCAAAGAGUUUGCCCGCUCGUACCGGCUGCACUACAGCAGGGACGGGCACCGCUGGAUGCCUUGGCGUGACCGGUGGGGCAAUGAGGUGAUUUCGGGGAAUGAAAAUACAGAAGAUGUGGUGCUGAAGGACCUGGGCCCCCCGGUUAUUGCCCGCUAUGUCCGCUUCUACCCACGUGCGGACCGAGUCAUGAGUGUCUGCCUGCGCGUGGAGCUCUAUGGCUGCAUCUGGAAAGAUGGCCUUCAGUCGUACACGGCUCCUCUCGGCCAGGUCAUGCCUCUAGUUCCAGAACCAGUCUACCUGAAUGACUCCACUUACGAUGGGCACAGCGUCAGCAACUUGCAUUUUGGGGGCCUUGGCCAGCUGACCGAUGGGGUGGUUGGCCUGGACGAUUUCACCCACAACAAAGAGCUGCGCGUCUGGCCAGGGUACGACUACGUAGGCUGGAGGAACAGCUCUUUCCCCAAGGGCUUCGUCGAGAUGGAGUUUGAGUUUGACCAGCUCAGAGCCUUCACUUACAUGAAGGUCCACUGCAACAACAUGCACACGCACGGGGUGAGCGUCUUCCGGCAGGUGGACUGCCUCUUCAAGCGCAGCCUGGCCACGGCCUGGGAGCCCACCCCUGUCUCGCAGCAACUCGCCGUGGACGUGAGGGAUCCCAGUGCCCGGUCCCUCACGGUGGACCUGGGAGGGCGGCUCGGCAAGUUCGUCCAGUGCCACUUCCACUUUGCCGGCGAGUGGAUGCUUUUCAGCGAAGUUGGCUUUCUCUCUGAAGUUGUGGACGACCCCUCCUUCUCUACCUCAAGCCGCCCACCCCCAGUGAUCGCUCUGCCUCACCCCUCGGGCCACGACGCUCCCAUCUCCCCAGCUCUGGGUUCUGCCCAGAGCGAGAAAGCCAACAUUGGCUCAAACCUCACGCUCCAAGAUCUGGAAAGUCAAGGGGAACCGAAAUCAGGGCAGCCCAUCGCAAAGGACGACAACAGCAACACCUCCAUCCUGAUUGGGUGCCUGGUGGCCAUCAUCCUUCUCCUAUUGGUUGUCAUCUUCCUCAUCCUCUGGCGGCAAUAUUGGCAGAAGAUCUUGGGGAAGGCGCAGCGCCGCAUCUCAGACGACGACCUCACUGUCCACCUCUCGGCACCAAGCGACACCAUCGUCAUCAACAACAACACGAUGGGCUCCCACCGGCACUCGAACCGCUACGAGCGCAUCCACUCGGGGGAGACGGAGUACCAGGAGCCCAACAGGGCCCGCAUGAAACUGCCGGAUCUGCCCCACAGCGCCGAGAACUCCGCUCUGCUGCUCAGCAACCCGGCUUACCACCUCUUCCUGGCCACUUAUGCCCAGCCAAUGGGAAGGCCUGCUUUCCCGCCACCCAACCGGGUUAAGCCAAUCAACACCAAUGCGUGUGGCGCUGACUACAUGGAACCGGAAACCGCAGGAAGUCAGCCGGGCUUCCAGAACAACGUGCCGCAUUACGCCGAAGCUGACAUCAUCAACUUGCAAGGGGUGACCGGCGGGAACACCUACGCAGUCCCGGCUAUUGCAGUGGACGCCCUCGCCGGCAAGGACAUGACGCUGGGCGAGUUCCCCCGGGAGAGGCUUGUCUUCAAGGAGAAACUGGGCGAAGGGCAGUUUGGAGAGGUCCACUUGUGUGAAGUGGAAAACCCUCAGGACCUUCCAAGCCUGGAGUUCCCCUUCAAUGUGCGCAAGGGGCGCCCUCUGCUGGUGGCUGUGAAGAUUCUACGCUCUGACGCCACUAAGAAUGCCAGGAAUGAUUUCCUGAAGGAGGUGAAGAUCAUGUCUCGCCUGAAGGACCUCAACAUCGUCCGGCUCCUGGGCGUUUGCGUGAGAGACGACCCCCUGUGCAUGAUCACGGAGUACAUGGAGAACGGAGACCUCAACCAGUUUCUCAGUGGGCAUGAGAUGGAGGACAAGCUGGGCGGGAGCCCCAGCGGGAAGCCGACAAUCGGCUAUCCUACUCUGGUCCAUGUGGGGGCCCAGAUUGCCUCAGGAAUGGCGUUCCUUGCCUCCCUCAACUUUGUGCACCGGGAUCUGGCGACGCGGAACUGCUUGGUGGGCGAAGGCUUCACCAUCAAGAUUGCCGACUUCGGCAUGAGCCGGAACCUCUACGCCGGGGACUAUUACCGCAUCCAGGGCCGUGCAGUGCUGCCAAUCCGCUGGAUGGCUUGGGAGUGCAUCCUCAUGGGCAAGUUCACCACAGCCAGCGACGUCUGGGCGUUUGGUGUCACGCUUUGGGAAGUGCUUAUGCUGUGCCAGGAGCAGCCCUACAGCCAGCUCACCGACGAAGCCGUCAUUGAGAACGCCGGAGAGUUCUUCCGGCACCAGGGCAAGCAGGUCUAUCUCUCUCGUCCUCCCGCCUGCCCGCUGGCUGUCUAUGAGAUGAUGCUGAGGUGCUGGGCGCGAGAGGCCAAGGACCGCCCCUCUUUCCAACAUCUGCACCGCUUCCUGGCUGAAGAUGCCCUCAAUAUGGUGUGAACGGGAUUGGUGCCGGCCAGCGGAGAUUAUGUUUAAGGACUCGGGUUGCGCCACAGAGACUGCUGAGGGAGGAGGCAGGAUGUAGCUCAAGAGGGCGUCACGCUCUGGGGUGCCUGCGGGGGGGGGGGCAUCUUGUCUGCCCAUCCUUGACUCAGCCCUGGUUGGCCCACCCAUUGCUCUCCAUCCACUCCUCAACAUGACAUUCUCCCUCCCUCCCUCCCCCCCCUCCCCCCCGCUCCAUCAGUCUCUUCUGCUAAUUUUUAACCGUCUCUCGGACGUCCCAUGAUUCAGCACUGCCAUACAUUUCCAACACAUUCCCCCUUCUCUGUUUUCUGGCCCACCUAUUCACAUACGUACCCAAUUCUCUUCUCGUCCUGGUCUCUCUUUCUGUCAGUGCAAUUCUACUUUGAUUCAAUCGAUCUGCCUUAAUCUGAACAAACUUCACCAGUACCCACACGUGACUGUGUUUCCACUGCAUUCGUUUCAUCUGCAGACCUUUUCUGUUAUUCCCCUGUAUAUCCAUGUUUUCAAGGUGUGAGUUGAACCUCCCACUAAGGCAGCAGGGGCUGUUGUUGUUGCUGGGGUCUGCUAGAUGGCCCUCCCUAACCUCAUUUUAUCAACGCCACGCCAGGUCACAAGAAGUCUUCUGAUUGGCCAAGGAGACAGAAUGCUCAUCCACUCACUUCCAUCUGGGCAGUUCCAUGCUAGGCACAGUGUCCCCACAGCUACGACAGAUGGCUAAGUGUAUGAACUUCAAAGACCUGGAUUCAGAUCUUACCGCAGCCAUAUAUUCACUAGGUGGCCUUAAUUAACCCUGUUCCCUCAGCUAUGGCCCCUCGGAGGCCUACUUUACAGGGUUCCUGUAACGAUUAUCGAAAUAAAGCUAUGUAGGACACUUCUGAACAGCCCCAAAAACUAAGAAUGAAUUCCAUUCUGAACUUCAUUCUGUUGGGCCAAUGUGACAGUGCUGUGAUUAUGGCGGAUUUUCGGUGGAGCAGCACCUCUUCCCCUGAGGACCACGAAACACCAGGAUCCCGCUGUCCAAGGUCACAGAGUGAGGUUUACGAUUCUAAUACGUUCUCCUCUGUGUGUCUGUAUGUGUGUUAUUUCAGGAGGGGCUGGAGAAGCCCUGUCCAAAAUCCCGUUUUUCAUGCAGAAGCUUCAUUGUGCUUCCAUCCUCAGACAUUUGCACAUAGCAGCAGACAGAUAACCACAUGCAAGGGUCUCUUAGAAUCAUGGAAUUAUGAGUUGGAAGGGGGGGGUCAUCUUUUCCGCUGCAAUGCGGGAAUCUUUGAGCUUGGGGCUCAAACCCACGACCCUGAGAUUAAGAGAGUCUCAUGCUCUGCUAACUGCAUAUUCCAGCUAUCUUGGGAGCAAAUGGUCAGUGCUAGUUAGGGGGAGCCUGGAGGGGAAACAAAAAGUUUUCCCCAUCACCACAACCUUGCUUUAUGGUGGCUCAGUAUUUUACCCUUUGAGAACUUUGUCUCUGUUCUCUUCCCCGCCCCCCAUUCAUACUCUUUCCCCAGGGAGUGUGACUCUCUUACCUGCCAUCUCUUCCUCAGAAAGUUGGGGCUGGGUGACUCCACACUUGGGGGGACUACAUUUCUGCCUUUGAGUUUCAUUCACAACUGGACUGACACUGGCUGAACCAAUAAGGACCCUUUGUUCUGAGCACACUGGGAUUAACUGAGCACUGGAUGUUUGGCAAUGCUGGAAGAAAUGAAUUCGAGGGUACUUGACUAAUCCAUUGUAGCUGGGAGAACCCACUACUAGCUGCUCUGUAGGGGUAAGUGGGGUGGGAGGGGGGAAUACCUCUUGGUCUUGCCCACUUCGUUGAGCAAAAGAGGCAGGAGACCAGGCUGGCAAGAUCUGGUGAGGCUUUGGGCUGGGUGCAGUCAUGGCCUGACCUCAAAAAAGGGAAUUGACCCAGGGUUUCCAAAAGGGCUGGUUUUCUGUUCUCCCUUAGCCACAUAUCAGUGCCAUGCCCGGCUCUCCUCUCUCAUGAAUUCAUUUCCCCUUUCUUUCCUGGAGACUUGAGGUGACAUGAUUGUAGAUACUGUACUGCACGAAGCAGUGGCGAAGGGAUGCACUUUUUCAAAGCAAGCAGAGGUGCUGGGGGAACCGAUCGAUUUACCCCCCUUCUCUCUGCGAUUCCAUUGUGGAGACUCCCCUGAGAACGUAGCCUGAAAAUCAUCACCACGGUCGUGCUCAACGGAUCUGUCCGCAUAGAAGCCUGUGCUUCGAUCUGUGCUAGAUCAGGGGGUGUCUCUACACAGGAAGUUCCUCUUAACAGGUAACCCAUGCAAUAAGCUUUGCCGAUGCCAAUGCCCCAUUUAGUGGGAGGGAGAGGGAAAUAAUGGUUUUUCUUCCUCCCAAGUGUUGUUGGGUUUCCUAAUUAAAGUUAAAAGUAGCAUUUUCCGUCGACUAGGAGUGGUUCCGUUUCAUCAAGCAUUUUUCAAAAUUUAAAGCUCGUUUUGGAAUAGAUAGUUGCAGAGAGCAUUUAAGUUAGGGGGUGGGAGAUUAUUAGAGCAGUAACCAAGAGAAUACAAAGAUGGCAAUUAAAUCUACCAAGCACCGUCCUUCAGAAACGAUGCCGGGGCAGUGCAAGCCAAUGCCUGUUCACUCAACGUUCCACUUAGUUCACUGGGGCAAGCACCCAGCAUAGCUGCCAAGUUAUCCCUUUUUUACAGGGAUUUUCCCUUAUGCUGAAUAGGCUUCCUCGCGAGAAAAGCGAAAACUUGGCAGCUAUGGUACCCAGGGCUGUCUUAAUCUCAUUGGGUGCCAUGGUGCAGGGAUCCCUCAGGCGCCCCCCACCCCCACGGGGUCCCCCCCUCUCACACGUGUGCAGGCCGCCUCGCCUGUGCUUUCCUCAGCUGUGCACGGUGCACUGGUGUUCCAAAUUAAUUCGCUCUUUAAAAAAAAAAAAAUUCACCACGCUGGAGGAGGCAAGACCCUGCAAUUCUGUGAGUCUGAUCCAGAAGCACUGACUGCAGCCAAUGGGGAACAAAUGGCCAUGGAAGAAGGUGGAUCCAGAGGAGAUUUGGGGUUAAAUCCUGGAAGCUGGAGGGGGAGAGGUUGUGAUAGGCCCGCCGCGCUCGCUGCCUUCCCCGCGCCAGGAGGCCUUGGGGCUCCGCCUUGGCUAAGCCAUCGCCACACGGAGAGCGCAGCCUGUGGAGAGGCCCGGCGACCCGACUGCUCCAUCAUUUUAAGAGAGGGGAAAACCCGCGGAGUUGGCAGGACAGCCCCCAUUGGCGGUGCCAGGCACCUCAUGGCUCCCCCCCCACGGAGCCAGCAGGGAGAGCCCCGUUCCUGCAUUCCAGAGCCCUCCCACCCGCAGCCAGUAAUACAAGACAAUAAAAAUACACUUCCUGACCCAACUGGUCAAGUUGCUCUUGAUCUUCUUUUUUCUCCGGAAUCAGAAUCCAUUCCUGGGCUGCCUUUCUUUGUGAUCUUGAUGACUACCUGUCUGGCACUUGAGUAAGUGUCACCCCUGAGGUGAGGUGUUUUCUGCCUACAUAACUCUACGCUUUUUGGUAAAUUGUUGUCUAGAGUCUCCUUUUCCCUGUGCCAAACAGGACUCAUGGAGAUGGAAGGAGCAGCUGCUUUUAGUGGAUUCCUGAGGCUCUGCACAGUGUAUUUUAUACAGUGACUUAGACAGGAUACAAUUACUUCUAGGCUAGACACAUAGCUCAUACCAAAAUAAAAACUUAGUUGGUCUUUAAGGUGCUACUGAAGGAAUUUUUUUAUUUUACAUAGUAACAUUGUAACUGGCUGGGAUGACAUUUCAUUCAUAACAGCUGUCAAUGAAGGGAAAACAUUUCAUUUGGCUGCAGUACCAGUGUUACAUGCUCUAGAUGGCAGUGUUAGAUAACAUUCAUUGGCUGGAGCUCAACAAGUUAUUAAAUACAGACAUUUCUAAGCACUGGCUCAUUCAUUUGCUAUAUGUGAUAGUGCUGUUUUCCCAUUUCCCAUUCCUUUUUUAGCUGCCUUUAUUUACAGGGGCUAGUAAUGUUUUUGUAGUGUCCACUCUAUCUGGUGGCUUUAGGUAAAUACAGGUACAGUUCAUGAUGUACAGGAUUCCUUCAUAGUAACAUCUCAUAUAAACAUACAAGGUUGCCCCCCCCCCUUCACUGCGUUUAGCGCAUAUGCAAAAAUAUGUGAUAAGUAUUUGGCCCCCUUACUGAAGGAGGGGAUUCAUCACACUGACUCUGAUGCACAUAGAGACUUAUAAGCUCAGCUAACUAGCCAGGCUAGCGGCCUUGUGCCUUAUCUUGUGCUAGGAGUGGCUUUACUCCCAAGGUACAUUAGAAAGGAAUGAAGAGGAAUCACGGCGGGGGGUGGUGGUGUUCUUUGUUUUCCUGACUAAUGAAUAUGUAAUGAAUGAACGACCAUACAUGGUAUAAUUAGUGUUGUGUCGUAACUUUAGAUUGGAGGAAGUUUAUGCAUAUGUAUUGUUUUAACAGAUAGCAGCUAUGUAUAUUAAGGAGGUUCCACCAUUGUUCAGUCUUUUGGAGAGUGAUCCCACUGAUCCAUUAUUGUUAGCAAUAAACAUCCUUUGUUUUUCUGCUGGAGUUUUUCCUUUCGGCCCACACGUUUAUUAUGCUACAACUCUUCCAGGGUGUCUCAUCUGCUGAACAAUUGUAGGAAUGAUGUUGUGGGAAAUGUGGCAAGAUUUCCUGAGUGACGCUAUGAAGUUACAUCACCAUAGUGCUAUAGUGCUGCAUGUUGGACCAACAGAAGUUUCUGAGUCGUCUUCAAAGGCAGCCCCACAUACAGGGCAUUGCAAUUCUGAAACCUAUCAGAGCAUGGAGCACAGUGGCCAAGUCAUCACCGUCCAAAAGGGCUCAUAGCUAGCCUACCAAGGGCAGAUUGCCUCCCCACCUCCUGGACCUGAGACCUGGGACACAUAUCUUUUCAGGAUUCAGCUUCAGUUUAUUGGCUCACAUCCAGCCCAUCACUACCUUCAAGCACUAGUCUAACAUCUCAACUGCUUCUCCUCAUUCAGAUGGAACAGAGAGACAGAUCUAGGUGUCCUCUGCGAGAAGUGAAGCUACCAGGUACCAGACAGAGGGCCUUAUCAGUAGUGCCCCCUCCCCCCGGUGGAACAUCCUCCCAUCAGAUGUCAAGGAAAUAAAUGACAAUACAAUUUUUUUAAAAAAACAUUUUAUUCAUUUCAUUUCAAAACAAAACAUAACACAAAGGAAACUUACACCAUAUUCCAUAACAACAGUAAUCUUCAUUUUUACAAAAACCAAAUCAAAAAAGGAAAAGGAAAAAAGAAACCCCCUCCCUUUUCAUCCCCC